AGGUAAGCUACUAAGAGCGAAUGGUGGAUGCCUUGACUGGUAAAGGCGAUGAAGGACGUACUAGACUGCGAUAAGCUACGGGGAGCUGUCAAGAAGCUUUGAUCCGUAGAUUUCCGAAUGGGGCAACCCAAUGUAUAGAGAUAUACAUUACCUAUAUAGGAGCGAACGAGGGGAAUUGAAACAUCUUAGUACCCUCAGGAAAAGAAAUCAAUAGAGAUUGCGUCAGUAGCGGCGAGCGAAAGCGCAAGAGGGCAAACCCAGUGCUUGCACUGGGGGUUGUAGGACUGCAAUGUGCAAGAGGUAAGUUUAGCAGAACAUUCUGGAAAGUAUAACCAUAGAGGGUGAUAGUCCCGUAUGCGAAAAACAAACCUUAGCUAGCAGUAUCCUGAGUAGGGCGGGACACGAGGAAUCCUGUCUGAAUCCGGGUCGACCACGAUCCAACCCUAAAUACUAAUACCAGAUCGAUAGUGCACAAGUACCGUGAGGGAAAGGUGAAAAGAACUGAGGUGAUCAGAGUGAAAUAGAACCUGAAACCAUUUGCUUACAAUCAUUCAGAGCCCUAUGUAGCAAUACAGGGUGAUGGACUGCCUUUUGCAUAAUGAGCCUGCGAGUUGUGGUGUCUGGCAAGGUUAAGCAAACGCGAAGCCGUAGCGAAAGCGAGUCUGAAUAGGGCGCUUAGUCAGAUGCUGCAGACCCGAAACGAAGUGAUCUAUCCAUGAGCAAGUUGAAGCUAGUGUAAGAACUAGUGGAGGACUGAACCCAUAGGCGUUGAAAAGCCCCGGGAUGACUUGUGGAUAGGGGUGAAAGGCCAAUCAAACUUCGUGAUAGCUGGUUCUCUCCGAAAUAUAUUUAGGUAUAGCGUUGUGUCGUAAUAUAAGGGGGUAGAGCACUGAAUGGGCUAGGGCAUACACCAAUGUACCAAACCCUAUCAAACUCCGAAUACCUUAUAUGUAAUCACAGCAGUCAGGCGGCGAGUGAUAAAAUCCGUCGUCAAGAGGGAAACAACCCAGACUACCAGCUAAGGUCCCUAAAUCUUACUUAAGUGGAAAACGAUGUGAAGUUACUUAAACAACCAGGAGGUUGGCUUAGAAGCAGCCAUCCUUUAAAGAAAGCGUAAUAGCUCACUGGUCUAGUGAUUUUGCGCGGAAAAUAUAACGGGGCUAAAGUAAGUACCGAAGCUGUAGACUUGCACACAACUUAGAUUAUUUAAGUUUAGAAUAUGAGAAACUAAGUUAUAUGUUUAGUUAUAUUUUUACUGAUUUUUAUAGAGUAAAGAUAGAAAUAAAACUUAGUAAAAUCAGUAAAAAUAUUCUUAGACUAAAGUUAAGUAGUUUAAGUUGUGUGCAAGUGGUAGGAGAGCGUUCUAUUUGCGUCGAAGGUAUACCGGUAAGGAGUGCUGGAGCGAAUAGAAGUGAGCAUGCAGGCAUGAGUAGCGAUAAUUAAUGUGAGAAUCAUUAACGCCGUAAACCCAAGGUUUCCUACGCGAUGCUCGUCAUCGUAGGGUUAGUCGGGUCCUAAGUCGAGUCCGAAAGGGGUAGACGAUGGCAAAUUGGUUAAUAUUCCAAUACCAACAUUAGUGUGCGAUGGAAGGACGCUUAGGGCUAAGGGGGCUAGCGGAUGGAAGUGCUAGUCUAAGGUCGUAGGAGGUUAUACAGGCAAAUCCGUAUAACAAUACUCCGAGAACUGAAAGGCUUUUUGAAGUCUUCGGAUGGAUAGAAGAACCCCUGAUGCCGUCGAGCCAAGAAAAGUUUCUAAGUUUAGCUAAUGUUGCCCGUACCGUAAACCGACACAGGUGGGUGGGAUGAGUAUUCUAAGGCGCGUGGAAGAACUCUCUUUAAGGAACUCUGCAAAAUAGCACCGUAUCUUCGGUAUAAGGUGUGGUUAGCUUUGUAUUAGGAUUUACUCCGAAAGCAAGGAAACUUACAACAAAGAGUCCCUCCCGACUGUUUACCAAAAACACAGCACUCUGCUAACUCGUAAGAGGAUGUAUAGGGUGUGACGCCUGCCCGGUGCUCGAAGGUUAAUUGAUGGGGUUAGCAUUAGCGAAGCUCUUGAUCGAAGCCCGAGUAAACGGCGGCCGUAACUAUAACGGUCCUAAGGUAGCGAAAUUCCUUGUCGGUUAAAUACCGACCUGCAUGAAUGGCGUAACGAGAUGGGAGCUGUCUCAAAGAGGGAUCCAGUGAAAUUGUAGUGGAGGUGAAAAUUCCUCCUACCCGCGGCAAGACGGAAAGACCCCGUGGACCUUUACUACAGCUUGACACUGCUACUUGGAUAAGAAUGUGCAGGAUAGGUGGGAGGCUUUGAGUAUAUGACGCCAGUUGUAUAUGAGCCAUUGUUGAGAUACCACUCUUUCUUAUUUGGGUAGCUAACCAGCUUGAGUUAUCCUCAAGUGGGACAAUGUCUGGUGGGUAGUUUGACUGGGGCGGUCGCCUCCCAAAUAAUAACGGAGGCUUACAAAGGUUGGCUCAGAACGGUUGGAAAUCGUUCGUAGAGUAUAAAGGUAUAAGCCAGCUUAACUGCAAGACAUACAAGUCAAGCAGAGACGAAAGUCGGUCUUAGUGAUCCGGUGGUUCUGUGUGGAAGGGCCAUCGCUCAAAGGAUAAAAGGUACCCCGGGGAUAACAGGCUGAUCUCCCCCAAGAGCUCACAUCGACGGGGAGGUUUGGCACCUCGAUGUCGGCUCAUCG
Molecule: ribosomal RNA, 2686 nt
Filed under: Campylobacter jejuni
Lineage: Bacteria; Pseudomonadati; Campylobacterota; Epsilonproteobacteria; Campylobacterales; Campylobacteraceae
Description: partial 23S ribosomal RNA
Rfam family: Bacterial large subunit ribosomal RNA
Source: RNAcentral